RNAcentral lists this ribosomal RNA (448 nucleotides) under uncultured bacterium. RNAcentral describes it as "bacterial SSU rRNA". It matches the Rfam family "Bacterial small subunit ribosomal RNA", at positions 28 to 456 of the family's 1533-position model. The record is from RNAcentral.
GAUGAACGCUGGCGGCGUGCUUAACACAUGCAAGUCGAACGAAGCUGCUUAACUGAUCUUCUUCGGAAUUGACGUUUUGUAGACUGAGUGGCGGACGGGUGAGUAACGCGUGGGUAACCUGCCCUGUACAGGGGGAUAACAGUCAGAAAUGACUGCUAAUACCGCAUAAGACCACAGCACCGCAUGGUGCAGGGGUAAAAACUCCGGUGGUACAGGAUGGACCCGCGUCUGAUUAGCUGGUUGGUGAGGUAACGGCUCACCAAGGCGACGAUCAGUAGCCGGCUUGAGAGAGUGAACGGCCACAUUGGGACUGAGACACGGCCCAAACUCCUACGGGAGGCAGCAGUGGGGAAUAUUGCACAAUGGGGGAAACCCUGAUGCAGCGACGCCGCGUGAGUGAAGAAGUAUCUCGGUAUGUAAAGCUCUAUCAGCAGGGAAGAAAAUGACG